UCUUGGCUUUCGGGGGCUUUUCUGGCUCGUUACCUGUGCCUGGCUCCCUGCUUGGGACGCUACUGGACCCAUCACACAUGAGGAGGAAUCGUUUUUACCCCCAAAGUUUGCCUUAGACAGCAAAGGGUGGUAAUUGGUUGAAAUGCCUGAUACACAGACAAGAUUUGUUCAUAAAUAUGUCAAUGAAAAUAAAAUUGAUGCUUCUUUUUGGAUCCACUUAGACUUACUGUUGUCACUGAAGCACAGACUGGAGGACAGAGAGUAGAGUGUUUGAAGUGGGCAUGAUUCAUCACAUUUUGCCUCAGAAGACGGUUGCCUCACAGGAAGCCACCAGAAUUCUUGUUCUGAGGCUGAACAGAUCACAAAAACCCUCCCAGUUGCCACCUCACUCAUCCACUUCGAUGAGCGUAUUUAAAGGAACCCAUCUCCUCGUUGCGGGGUUUUAAAAAUUGGUGGGGACCUUUUGGUGGUACUUGCGAUGUCCCUGAAUGAUGUUUCCAAAGAAAAGGAGCCUCAAAAUGGAGAAUGGAGCGUGGAACUAAUCUGACCAUUAGCAUGAAGAGUUUAUUUCUUAACAUAAGAAGCCCUGGGUUUUCUUCAUCUACUCGGAACUGCCUUAUGAACCCUCUGUUGUUGCAAAAAAAUAGGUUGCAUAGCUUUGGAAGGGAGGAAAGGCAGCCUUCAGAGCUGCACUGGCCACCCCAGGACUUCUCUGCAAUCUGAAUCUCUCUGCUGUAGGAGGAACUGAGCCAAUGGGGCUACUGAGGAGGCUACAAGAAAGUAGUGAGAUCCAUGGGGAGCCAUAGUCAUCUCUUGCCUAUAAACUGUGUCCUUCCCAGAAGGUCUCUGAUGGAUGUGAUAUGCAUCUUUUUGGCCUUCAUCCAUUUGGGUACAAAGCUUUGAGAUCAGUAAAAGUACCAUCUUUGUUCUCUUAUAAAUCCUUUAGGCUAUAUAACAAUAACAGAAAAUAUCAUUACACUGCUGUAUAAAUCUUCGUAAUGCUCUCACCUAAAGUGUUGUUUUUGUUGCUCUCCUGUCUCCCCACCUGAGAAUGCAUAUCCUAGAACUGGAAAAAAUA
This 1078-nucleotide long non-coding RNA is filed under the name Struthio camelus australis. RNAcentral describes it as "lncRNA (ENSSCUG00000012102.1)". Lineage: Eukaryota; Metazoa; Chordata; Aves; Struthioniformes; Struthionidae. The record is from RNAcentral.